Molecule: ribosomal RNA, 450 nt
Filed under: uncultured soil bacterium
Lineage: Bacteria
Description: bacterial SSU rRNA
Rfam family: Bacterial small subunit ribosomal RNA
Source: RNAcentral
AAUUUCGAUUAACGCGAAGACCUUUACCCAGGCUUGAAGAGCGAAUGACCAUUCCCGAAAGGGAACUUCCGCAAGGACAUUCGUAGAGGUGCUGCAUGGCUGUCGUCAGCUCGUGUCGUGAGAUGUUGGGUUAAGUCCCGCAACGAGCGCAACCCUUGUCUGCUGUUGCCAUCACGUUAUGGUGGGCACUCUGCAGAGACUGCCGGUGAUAAACCGGAGGAAGGUGGGGAUGACGUCAAGUCAGCAUGGCCUUUAUGUCUGGGGCUACACACGUGCUACAAUGGCCGGUACAAACCGUCGCGAUACCGCAAGGUGGAGCUAAUCGGAGAAAGCCGGUCUCGGUUCGGAUAGCAGGCUGCAACUCGCCUGCUUGAAGUUGGAAUCGCUAGUAAUCGCGGAUCAGCACGCCGCGGUGAACACGUUCCCGGGCCUUGUCACACCGAAUCACUA